Molecule: ribosomal RNA, 2652 nt
Filed under: Staphylococcus aureus DAR3599
Lineage: Bacteria; Bacillati; Bacillota; Bacilli; Caryophanales; Staphylococcaceae
Description: bacterial LSU rRNA
Rfam family: Bacterial large subunit ribosomal RNA
Source: RNAcentral
UUAAGUUAUUAAGGGCGCACGGUGGAUGCCUUGGCACUAGAAGCCGAUGAAGGACGUUACUAACGACGAUAUGCUUUGGGGAGCUGUAAGUAAGCUUUGAUCCAGAGAUUUCCGAAUGGGGAAACCCAGCAUGAGUUAUGUCAUGUUAUCGAUAUGUGAAUACAUAGCAUAUCAGAAGGCACACCCGGAGAACUGAAACAUCUUAGUACCCGGAGGAAGAGAAAGAAAAUUCGAUUCCCUUAGUAGCGGCGAGCGAAACGGGAAGAGCCCAAACCAACAAGCUUGCUUGUUGGGGUUGUAGGACACUCUAUACGGAGUUACAAAGGACGACAUUAGACGAAUCAUCUGGAAAGAUGAAUCAAAGAAGGUAAUAAUCCUGUAGUCGAAAAUGUUGUCUCUCUUGAGUGGAUCCUGAGUACGACGGAGCACGUGAAAUUCCGUCGGAAUCUGGGAGGACCAUCUCCUAAGGCUAAAUACUCUCUAGUGACCGAUAGUGAACCAGUACCGUGAGGGAAAGGUGAAAAGCACCCCGGAAGGGGAGUGAAAUAGAACCUGAAACCGUGUGCUUACAAGUAGUCAGAGCCCGUUAAUGGGUGAUGGCGUGCCUUUUGUAGAAUGAACCGGCGAGUUACGAUUUGAUGCAAGGUUAAGCAGUAAAUGUGGAGCCGUAGCGAAAGCGAGUCUGAAUAGGGCGUUUAGUAUUUGGUCGUAGACCCGAAACCAGGUGAUCUACCCUUGGUCAGGUUGAAGUUCAGGUAACACUGAAUGGAGGACCGAACCGACUUACGUUGAAAAGUGAGCGGAUGAACUGAGGGUAGCGGAGAAAUUCCAAUCGAACCUGGAGAUAGCUGGUUCUCUCCGAAAUAGCUUUAGGGCUAGCCUCAAGUGAUGAUUAUUGGAGGUAGAGCACUGUUUGGACGAGGGGCCCCUCUCGGGUUACCGAAUUCAGACAAACUCCGAAUGCCAAUUAAUUUAACUUGGGAGUCAGAACAUGGGUGAUAAGGUCCGUGUUCGAAAGGGAAACAGCCCAGACCACCAGCUAAGGUCCCAAAAUAUAUGUUAAGUGGAAAAGGAUGUGGCGUUGCCCAGACAACUAGGAUGUUGGCUUAGAAGCAGCCAUCAUUUAAAGAGUGCGUAAUAGCUCACUAGUCGAGUGACACUGCGCCGAAAAUGUACCGGGGCUAAACAUAUUACCGAAGCUGUGGAUUGUCCUUUGGACAAUGGUAGGAGAGCGUUCUAAGGGCGUUGAAGCAUGAUCGUAAGGACAUGUGGAGCGCUUAGAAGUGAGAAUGCCGGUGUGAGUAGCGAAAGACGGGUGAGAAUCCCGUCCACCGAUUGACUAAGGUUUCCAGAGGAAGGCUCGUCCGCUCUGGGUUAGUCGGGUCCUAAGCUGAGGCCGACAGGCGUAGGCGAUGGAUAACAGGUUGAUAUUCCUGUACCACCUAUAAUCGUUUUAAUCGAUGGGGGGACGCAGUAGGAUAGGCGAAGCGUGCGAUUGGAUUGCACGUCUAAGCAGUAAGGCUGAGUAUUAGGCAAAUCCGGUACUCGUUAAGGCUGAGCUGUGAUGGGGAGAAGACAUUGAGUCUUCGAGUCGUUGAUUUCACACUGCCGAGAAAAGCCUCUAGAUAGAAAAUAGGUGCCCGUACCGCAAACCGACACAGGUAGUCAAGAUGAGAAUUCUAAGGUGAGCGAGCGAACUCUCGUUAAGGAACUCGGCAAAAUGACUCCGUAACUUCGGGAGAAGGGGUGCUCUUUAGGGUUAACGCCCAGAAGAGCCGCAGUGAAUAGGCCCAAGCGACUGUUUAUCAAAAACACAGGUCUCUGCUAAACCGUAAGGUGAUGUAUAGGGGCUGACGCCUGCCCGGUGCUGGAAGGUUAAGAGGAGUGGUUAGCUUCUGCGAAGCUACGAAUCGAAGCCCCAGUAAACGGCGGCCGUAACUAUAACGGUCCUAAGGUAGCGAAAUUCCUUGUCGGGUAAGUUCCGACCCGCACGAAAGGCGUAACGAUUUGGGCACUGUCUCAACGAGAGACUCGGUGAAAUCAUAGUACCUGUGAAGAUGCAGGUUACCCGCGACAGGACGGAAAGACCCCGUGGAGCUUUACUGUAGCCUGAUAUUGAAAUUCGGCACAGCUUGUACAGGAUAGGUAGGAGCCUUUGAAACGUGAGCGCUAGCUUACGUGGAGGCGCUGGUGGGAUACUACCCUAGCUGUGUUGGCUUUCUAACCCGCACCACUUAUCGUGGUGGGAGACAGUGUCAAGCGGGCAGUUUGACUGGGGCGGUCGCCUCCUAAAAGGUAACGGAGGCGCUCAAAGGUUCCCUCAGAAUGGUUGGAAAUCAUUCAUAGAGUGUAAAGGCAUAAGGGAGCUUGACUGCGAGACCUACAAGUCGAGCAGGGUCGAAAGACGGACUUAGUGAUCCGGUGGUUCCGCAUGGAAGGGCCAUCGCUCAACGGAUAAAAGCUACCCCGGGGAUAACAGGCUUAUCUCCCCCAAGAGUUCACAUCGACGGGGAGGUUUGGCACCUCGAUGUCGGCUCAUCGCAUCCUGGGGCUGUAGUCGGUCCCAAGGGUUGGGCUGUUCGCCCAUUAAAGCGGUACGCGAGCUGGGUUCAGAACGUCGUGAGACAGUUCGGUCCCUAUCCGUCGUGGGCG